This 591-nucleotide ribosomal RNA is filed under the name uncultured bacterium. RNAcentral describes it as "bacterial SSU rRNA". It matches the Rfam family "Bacterial small subunit ribosomal RNA", at positions 28 to 710 of the family's 1533-position model. The record is from RNAcentral.
GAUGAACGCUAGCUACAGGCUUAACACAUGCAAGUCGAGGGACCGGCGCACGGGUGAGUAACGCGUAUCCAACCUGCCCACCACUUGGGGAUAACCUUGCGAAAGUAAGACUAAUACCCAAUGGUGAUGGAUGGGGAUGCGUCUGAUUAGCUUGUUGGCGGGGUAACGGCCCACCAAGGCAACGAUCAGUAGGGGUUCUGAGAGGAAGGUCCCCCACAUUGGAACUGAGACACGAUCCAAACUCCUACGGGAGGCAGCAGUGAGGAAUAUUGGUCAAUGGACGAGAGUCUGAACCAGCCAAGUAGCGUGCAGGAUGACGGCCUAUGGGUUGUAAACUGCUUUUAUAAGGGAAUAUGUACCUUAUGAAUAAGGACCGGCUAAUUCCGUGCCAGCAGCCGCGGUAAUACGGAAGGUCCGGGCGUUAUCCGGAUUUAUUGGGUUUAAAGGGAGCGUAGGCCGGAGAUUAAGCGUGUUGUGAAAUGUAGAUGCUCAACAUCUGCACUGCAGCGCGAACUGGUUUCCUUGAGUACGCACAAAGUGGGCGGAAUUCGUGGUGUAGCGGUGAAAUGCUUAGAUAUCACGAAGAACUCC